UUGGAAACAGAUGCUAAUACCGCAUAGAUCCAAGAACCGCAUGGUUCUUGGCUGAAAGAUGGCGUAAGCUAUCGCUUUUGGAUGGACCCGCGGCGUAUUAGCUAGUUGGUGAGGUAAUGGCUCACCAAGGCGAUGAUACGUAGCCGAACUGAGAGGUUGAUCGGCCACAUUGGGACUGAGACACGGCCCAAACUCCUACGGGAGGCAGCAGUAGGGAAUCUUCCACAAUGGACGCAAGUCUGAUGGAGCAACGCCGCGUGAGUGAAGAAGGCUUUCGGGUCGUAAAACUCUGUUGUUGGAGAAGAAUGGUCGGCAGAGUAACUGUUGUCGGCGUGACGGUAUCCAACCAGAAAGCCACGGCUAACUACGUGCCAGCAGCCGCGGUAAUACGUAGGUGGCAAGCGUUAUCCGGAUUUAUUGGGCGUAAAGCGAGCGCAGGCGGUUUUUUAAGUCUGAUGUGAAAGCCCUCGGCUUAACCGAGGAAGCGCAUCGGAAACUGGGAAACUUGAGUGCAGAAGAGGACAGUGGAACUCCAUGUGUAGCGGUGAAAUGCGUAGAUAUAUGGAAGAACACCAGUGGCGAAGGCGGCUGUCUGGUCUGUAACUGACGCUGAGGCUCGAAAGCAUGGGUAGCGAACAGGAUUAGAUACCCUGGUAGUCCAUGCCGUAAACGAUGAAUGCUAGGUGUUGGAGGGUUUCCGCCCUUCAGUGCCGCAGCUAACGCAUUAAGCAUUCCGCCUGGGGAGUACGACCGCAAGGUUGAAACUCAAAGGAAUUGACGGGGGCCCGCACAAGCGGUGGAGCAUGUGGUUUAAUUCGAA
Molecule: ribosomal RNA, 820 nt
Filed under: Lacticaseibacillus paracasei
Lineage: Bacteria; Bacillati; Bacillota; Bacilli; Lactobacillales; Lactobacillaceae
Description: bacterial SSU rRNA
Rfam family: Bacterial small subunit ribosomal RNA
Source: RNAcentral